Molecule: long non-coding RNA, 3205 nt
Organism: Psammomys obesus (fat sand rat)
Lineage: Eukaryota; Metazoa; Chordata; Mammalia; Rodentia; Muridae
Exons: 2
Source: RefSeq, a predicted model, not a curated record
GCUUGGACUAGGGCCUAUACUGAUGCUGUCUGUGCUUGAUUAGAGGGAGAGAGGGUGGGGGUGGGGCUUUCUGGGUAGCCAUGGGGAUCUCCAGGCAGGAUGUGCUGUUCGGAUGUGCUGGGUACCUGAGGUCUCUGGCUGCAGCACAGUGACCUAAUUCAAGCUACUAUGUGGCCAUUGCUGGGUUGGGUCUCCUGUAGGAAAUCUGAGAUGUCUGUUCUCAGCCUAUUGCCUCUCUCAGAUGUCAGAGUUCUGUCACCUUCUGUCUCCAGUAGGGCUCUGUCUUCCCCUACCCCUCUAUCCUCUCCUAUGACAUCACAGGAUCCCAUCCUAUCAACUGCCCCAGGAGGCUUGGCAGUUGUUUUUGAAAAAGCUGGCUGCAGGUCUCUGUUCCCAGUAGGGCCCCCACUGGCUCAGGACUUUGAGAGGUGUCCUCAGUUGUGCUAUGAUUCUAAACUCCAUAACCUGCAUCCCUGGGCUGGUCCUGGAUGCUUCUUGUCAUCUCUGGUGAGCAGGGAGAGGUGUACAACUGGCUGAAGAGCACUGGGAAUGGUCUGGGAUCACUUUCAUCCCUGUGGGUCAGCAGUGGCUCAGGCCUCCACCUGCCUGGUUCCUGUCCCCAGUCUUCACUGUCUAAGGCUCAGGUUCUUUGCCAUCAAUCACAGGUCACCUUGAACUGUGGGAUCCUUUCAUGGGUUAGUGGGUCUUCCAACUAUGCCUGGCUUUUGGGGGUCUGUGGCGCAGUUGUGGUUUCUGGCCCUGGAUGUGUUUGUAGCCUUUACCCUGUUGGCACCAGUGAUGCUCAGAGCCACCUGCUGUGUGCCUGCCAGCAUCCCUGAAUGUGCUGUGGCCCCUUUGGCAGGUCCUCCAGACUUGAUGACUGCAGAAGCUCUGGGGUGUGUCUCCUGGGCUGUGCCUUCCUCCUCCUCUUAACCACAGGUUCUUUCCCCAGCAAAGACAGAAGAGGUUGGCCCAGGUGCAGCAGAGGGUAGAAACUGAAGCUCACUCGUUCUCCUUCUCUGUGGUGUGCUGGCCUAAGAGGAGAAGAGAUAAUGGGGGUGUAAGACAAAGUGAAAGCAGAAACGUCAAGUUCAUUGUCUUGAUGGAUGCAGUGAGCCCUAGCAGCCCCUGGCUAACAGCUUCUAGCACUCAGCGAGCAGCCAUCCUGGCAACAAUUCUGGACAGAAGUCCUUGGGCACUUGUUUUGUAUCUUGUGCUCCUAGGACUGCUGGGAAGGGCUCCAUCCCUGUCAUGUGUGUCACCAAACCCACCCACACCCCCGUUUCUCAAACUCUCACACCCCUAAUUACACAAUUGAAAGUUGGUGCAUGGCAAUCGUAAUGGCCAAUCUUGGUUGUCAUUUUGACAUAUCUGGGAAGAGGGAAUCUCAUUUGAGGGAUUGAUCGCCUCCAUCAGAUUGUCCUGUUGGCACGUCUGUAGAGCAUCUUUUUGACUGCUAAUGGAUGUAGGUGGGCCCGGCCCACUGUGGGUCUUACCAUUCCAGGCAGGUGAACCUUGGCUGUGUAAAAAAGGUGGCUGAGCAAAUCCGAGAAAGACAUGCCAGUAAAUAGUGUUCCUGUGUGGUCUGUGCUUUAAAUUCCUGCCUUGAGUUCCUACCCUAGCUUCCCUGGAUGAGCUGUAACUUGUAAGAUGAAAGAAAGUUUUCUCCCCGAAGGUGGGUGGGCUCACACCAAAGGAGACACGUUCCCAUAGUUAGAACUGUCCCACAACUGAUGCCGCCAGGUUUAAGGCAGCGCGAGCGUUCAUGAAGCCUGUGGCCAACUGUGCUGUUGCAGAGGGACUUUCUACUGGUGUGUCUAUGUGCUGGAGAAGCAGUGGAGCUGGCUUAACAGAGGCAGCAACCCCAGCAAUGACUUCGCAGCCCUUGAGCACUAUUAAGCAUUGCGUAUUUUCCUGCCAAGGCUUGGAAAGGCCAACAACUUGGCAGGACCAGCUUUUUUUUGUUGUUGUCUUCUCAUUUGCCCUGCUCCCAUCCUCCUGAGUACACAGAGGAAGACCUGAGCUAUCCUUUUUUUUCUCUGCAGCAACGCAGGCACUCCAUCUGUUUCGUCUGCUCGACACCUCCACUGGGAGUCUCAGGAGGUGAGUGACUUGCUCCUAACAGGUAACAGGCACCACCUUGUAGGUGCUACUUUUUAAUUAUUUUAUUUGGGGUUCCUUAAGCCUCUACAUCCCUUCCAACCCCCAACCCUAGGUAGAAGAGAAAGAAAGUUAGAUGGGAAAGGGACGUAGGUCUCUUUAGACUUAGUUCUGGCUGGUGAGGGUGGUCGGGUUCUUCGGGACAAUAACAAUCUCGGUCAUUAGGAUAUCCAGCCUUCUUCCUUUUCUGACUGUCUCCUCAAAGCCUCUCUCAGAAUUAAACUAUCUGCAGCUGGCAACGACCACGCCCCUCUCUGAGGCCUAUGAGGUAAUUAUCAGCUGUGGAUGACCAGAAGCAGUCGCAUAUCCCACACUUGGGAUUAAAAGAAAAACCUGUUUACGUAACAUAACUGAGUCUUUAAAGAAACCAAAACCUGGACUACGCCCCCUGCUGUUUGAAGAAUGAACACAGAUAUGCAAAUAUCUCUGUGAUAUUCUGACUUCUGUUCUGUCGGGCAUACAGUCAGAAGCAGUUUCGCUGGGUCGUGUGGUAGUUAACAUCUUUGAAGAGCCUCGGUACUGACUUACACAGUAGCCAACUAGAUCACGUUCUCACCAGCGGUGGAUAAACACCCCACCUUGUCUUCGUAGCUGUUCUGAGUGGGGUGAGACAAAGAUUAAUAUAUUCAAUUUGUAUUUCCCCAAUGCUAAGGAGGUUAAACAUUUUCCUCUGUAUUUUCUGCUAUUUGUAUUCCUUUUUGGGGAAUGCGACUAUUAAUAAUUUUUAAUGUUCAGUUAUUGUCCAUUUGUAGGUUGGCUGAUUUUGGGUGUGUGUGUGUGUGUGUUUUACUUUGUAGAUUCUAGAUAUUAGUCUCAGGUGGACGCCCAGAUGUUUUCCCAUUCUGUAGACCAUGCGUGUCUAAUCCUGAGCCACAUGCAGCCCGGAACAGGUGUGAAUGUGGGGCAACACAGAUCUUAAAUUUAUUUAAAACAUUGUGAGAUCUAAAAAUUAAAAAUUAAAAAUAAUUUCUCAAGAGUGACCUUUGUAGAUGAUGUCAUGUCUCUGUCAUACAAAAUAAAUGUGUGUGCAUUGGCACUAUUUGUA